Molecule: ribosomal RNA, 491 nt
Filed under: uncultured bacterium
Lineage: Bacteria
Description: partial 16S ribosomal RNA
Rfam family: Bacterial small subunit ribosomal RNA
Source: RNAcentral
GUGAACGCUGGCGGUAGGCCUAACACAUGCACGUCGAACGGCAGCACAGUAAGAGCUUGCUCUUACGGGUGGCGAGUGGCGGACGGGUGAGGAAUACAUCGGAAUCUACUUUUUCGUGGGGGAUAACGUAGGGAAACUUACGCUAAUACCGCAUACGACCUACGGGUGAAAGCAGGGGAUCUUCGGACCUUGCGCGAUUGAAUGAGCCGAUGUCGGAUUAGCUAGUUGGCGGGGUAAAGGCCCACCACGGCGACGAUCCGUAGCUGGUCUGAGAGGAUGAUCAGCCACACUGGAACUGAGACACGGUCCAGACUCCUACGGGAGGCAGCAGUGGGGAAUAUUGGACAAUGGGCGCAAGCCUGAUCCAGCCAUACCGCGUGGGUGAAGAAGGCCUUCGGGUUGUAAAGCCCUUUUGUUGGGAAAGAAAAGCAGCAGGUUAAUACCCCGCUGUUCUGACGGUACCCAAAGAAUAAGCACCGGCUAACUUCGUG